This 253-nucleotide ribosomal RNA is filed under the name uncultured bacterium. RNAcentral describes it as "partial 16S ribosomal RNA". It matches the Rfam family "Bacterial small subunit ribosomal RNA", at positions 524 to 776 of the family's 1533-position model. The record is from RNAcentral.
UACAGAGGGGGCGAGCGUUGUUCGGAAUUACUGGGCGUAAAGGGCGCGUAGGCGGCCUUCUAAGUCGAACGUGAAAUCCCCGGGCUCAACCCGGGAACUGCGUCCGAUACUGGGAGGCUUGAAUCCGGGAGAGGGAUGUGGAAUUCCAGGUGUAGCGGUGAAUUGCGUAGAUAUCUGGAGGAACACCGGUGGCGAAGGCGGCAUCCUGGACCGGUAUUGACGCUGAGGCGCGAAAGCUAGGGGAGCAAACGGG